Molecule: ribosomal RNA, 468 nt
Filed under: uncultured bacterium
Lineage: Bacteria
Description: SSU rRNA
Rfam family: Bacterial small subunit ribosomal RNA
Source: RNAcentral
AGGACGAACGCUGGCGGCGUGCUUAACACAUGCAAGUCGAGCGGAAAGGCCCUUCGGGGUACUCGAGCGGCGAACGGGUGAGUAACACGUGAGGAACCUACCCCGGACUCAGGGAUAACGGCUGGAAACGGCUGCUAAUACCUGAUGCCGUCGGAGCAUCACAUGGUGCACUGACGAAAGAAUCUCGGUUCGGGAGGGCCUCGCGGCCUAUCAGCUUGUUGGUGGGGUAACGGCCUACCAAGGCAUCGACGGGUAGCUGGUCUGAGAGGAUGAUCAGCCACACUGGGACUGAGACACGGCCCAGACUCCUACGGGAGGCAGCAGUGGGGAAUCUUGCGCAAUGGGCGAAAGCCUGACGCAGCAACGCCGCGUGCGGGAAGAAGGCCUUAGGGUUGUAAACCGCUUUCAGUAGGAACGAAAUGACGGUACCUGCAGAAGAGGUGCGGCCAACUACGUGCCAGCAGCCGC